CGCAUAAGAUUGAUUUAAUCCCAAUUCCCUCUGAUUCCAAUUUUGAGAAAUUUGCUCUCCCCCCAAAUCGCAUAAGAUUGAUUUAAUCCCAAAAUCCUUUAAACCUAAUCUAUUAUUUUUCUCUCCAUCCACGCACAUAAGAUACCUCUUACCCCUUUUCACGAUGAUGACAGUUUCGGGCCUUCAACCGACGGUUAGAUUUAAGAUUUCGACUGGUGGUGGUGGAUCGAUGCUAACAUUCAACCAUCACGGACUAUGUGAAUACUCUGUUAGAAAUUUAUAAUUUCCAGUCGAGUUCAUCAGGUUCCUUUACCGUCUCUGGCUGUUGAUCGUGUCUCCGUUGCCCUACGUCGUCAUCAUUAUUAUUAGUUGUCUCUAUCCCACCAUGUACGCCUGUAUAAGGACGCCUCUUAUACCCUUUACAUGAUGACGACAUCAUCGAGCCUUCAACCACCAGUCAGAUUCAAAAUUUUUACUUCUGCCUCAAGACUUAUACCACCGGCUUCCAUCCAACCCUGUAAGUAAGUUAAUAACUAAAAUAUAUAUCUGAUUCUUAGCUUCUUGGUUUUUCUGUUUGUAGAUAAGGGAAGCGGGUUGAUGUCUAUUGGAUUUGUCAAGUCUUGAAUGAUAUUUUGGAUUAUUGACUGCAGUUUAAUAAUUUACAUGUGAUGGUGACAUCUUUUAAGAGAGAUUUCUGCUAUUUGACCCUUUUACCCCUUUUAGGUAUCUUGUUUGAUGACAGCCCUAGAUGCUAUUAAGUUCUUUCCCUGUUAUUUGGUGUUUUCUAUCAUAUGAUGGUUUUGACUGCUUUCCCUUAUCGAAUUAUUGUUUUGCUCUUGGUUGCCUUUUUGUGCUAGCUUUGAUGGUUUUGGGCAUGGUUAUGCCUAUUGAUGUUGUAAGCUUAGCUGUGCUCGCUUCUAGACAAAAGAUAUUUGGGUAUAUUUACUUUUUGUUUCAUAAUUUAAGAUUUUUACUUUUUACCCUAAACGUUGUGGUUGGUGUAAACAAAUCACAAUUGUGGGUGUCUUAAUGUCCGUUGAUGCCAACGUUUAUGAGCCAGGUAAUUGUUAUUCACUUUUGGUAAACUUUAUUCAAUGAAAAAGUCUAAUGUUGGGUUGCUUGCUUUUUACUUGUGUUUUUGUAGCACUUGAAUUGUUGCAUGCUUAUGGAUUUAACAAAAUGGAGAAAGUUAGAUUAACUUUAGUGUUCUUGAUUAACAUGAUCUAAUUUUGUUAGCCUGCAUCUUAUUUUUAUGCAAAUAAGGUGUUUGAUUAAUCGACUCAAAGAAUCUGACUUAUAUGUAUAUGGGUUUAUAUUGAUCUAUCUUGCUGCCAGGUACCUUGAUUUCAAUAAAUUUUAUUUCUUUUGUUGAACUGGAUGAUUAUCGUAAAUUUUGUUGCGUAGCUUGACUUUGGUCACAUCUUUCUUACCUUAACUUUUUAUAUAUUUUUUAGGCCCUAAAGAACCUUAGCUACGGCAGGUUCAAUUAUCCAAGAACUGGUAAAGCCAUCUUCUUUCCUUAUGUGAAUUGCAGGUAUUGUUCUAAGAACAAUAUAAAUGGAUGGAUAAUGAUUCAUUUGUUCUAAAUAGAUGGAUUAUAAGCCAAUUAUUUUAAAUAAAUGGAUCAUGACUCCACUUGACCAAGUUAUCAUUAAAAUUUUACCAUUAGUUAAGAGUUUUUUAUUAUAAAAUAUAUGAAGUGUACUAUUUAUCUAUUUUUUAACUGAUCCGACCAUGCGGCAUUUUAGAUUUUCAUCAGUCUGCUUGUCUACUUUAUAUAUGGGAUAUAUACUUCAUAUGAUUUCUUUAAAAAUCUAGUAGUAGAUUGAUAAGUUAGAUGAUAUAUUGAUGUUGAUGUUGGUGUUGUUAAACCAAACCAACUGGAAAUGUAUAUUAAUAUUUAAUACUUCCAAAUUUGAGGUUCAUAUUACAUCCUCUAAUGGAACUUUGGCCAGAGGUACAGAUCGUUGCUUCAACAGGUAUUAUAGUGUGAUUUCUGUUUGUUUUUUGAUAGUAUAUGUUACGCAUGUAAUAUACUAAUAAAUAAUUGAUACAAUAACAUGCUUCUUUAUAGAUUCUUUUUAUAUGAUCAUAUAUGAUUCGACUUAUAAAUGGUUUAUUUCCAUUUUCUAUUCUCAGACAUAUUAGCAUAUAUGAAGCCCUAGAAUUAAGAGAUGCAGAUUAUGUGUAUCUACGAAAAGGAGUGUUCCCAUUUGAUAUUUUCUAUCACAAUUUGCAUUAAGGAAAUUUUUCAAAAGGAUAAAUGGUUAUUAGAUGUAGAAAGUUAAAUACUUUUGAAUUAUGGUUUUUUUGUUUUAUUUACCAUAUUUUUAGACUUGUUAUAAGCACAAGUUCUUUUUGCUAUUGUAAUUAGGGAUCUUAUGUAUGGAUUUGUAUUUCAAUUAUUAAUAAUAUUGAUUUCUUUUUAUUGUUUCA
Long non-coding RNA from Lactuca sativa (garden lettuce), 2436 nucleotides. RefSeq lists it as uncharacterized. The record is from RefSeq and is a predicted model, not a curated record. NCBI's taxonomy places the organism in Eukaryota, Viridiplantae, Streptophyta, Magnoliopsida, Asterales, Asteraceae.